RNAcentral lists this ribosomal RNA (253 nucleotides) under uncultured bacterium. RNAcentral describes it as "partial 16S ribosomal RNA". It matches the Rfam family "Bacterial small subunit ribosomal RNA", at positions 524 to 776 of the family's 1533-position model. The record is from RNAcentral.
UACAGAGGCCCCAAGCGUUGUUCGGAUUCACUGGGCGUAAAGGGUGCGUAGGUGGUUAGGUAAGUCCGAUGUGAAAUCUCCAGGCUCAACCUGGAAAUGGCAUUGGAUACUAUUUAGCUUGAGGAGUGGAGGGGGGACUGGAAUUCUCGGUGUAGCAGUGAAAUGCGUAGAUAUCGAGAGGAACACCAGUGGCGAAGGCGAGUCCCUGGACACUUCCUGACACUGAGGCACGAAAGCUAGGGGAGCAAACAGG